GAGUUUGAUCAUGGCUCAGGAUGAACGCUGGUGGUAUGCAUGACACAUGCAAGUUAAACGGAGAGUUAAAAAUGCUUAAUGCGUUUACUCUUAGUAGCGAACGGGUGAGUAAUGCGUGAGAAUCUACCCAUUUGGAGGGGGGUAACGAUUGGAAACGAUCGCAGUAAUUCCUCAUAGUCUAUUACAAUUACAUUGUAAACUUUUUUGAUCUGAUCUUUUUCAGUAUUGAAAAUUGAGAACAAAGGAGAGAAUCCGCCAAUGGAGGAGCUCGCGUCUGAUUAGCUAGUUUGGGGGGUAAAGGCUUCCCAAGGCCAUGAUCAGUAGCUGGUUUGAGGGAACGGUCAGCCACACUGGGACUGAGAUACGGCACAGACUCCUUCGGGAGGCAGCAGUGAGGAAUUUUCCACAAUAAGCGAAAGCUUGACGGAGCAAUACCACGUGAGAGAGAUAAGAAGGGCUUCGGCUUGUAAACCUCUUUUCUCGAGGAAGAAAAACAUGACUGUACUUGAGGAAAUAAGCAUCGGCUAACUCCGUGCCAGCAGCCGCGGUAAUACGGGGGAUGCAAGCGUUAUCCGGAAUUAUUGGGCGUAAAGCGCUUGUAGGUGUCUUAGUAAGUAUGUAGUUAAAGUUCAAAGCUUAACUUUGAAAAGGCUACAGAAACUGCUUGGCUAGAGUAUGGCAUAGGUAAAGGGAAUUUCUAGUGUAGCGGUGAAAUGCGUAGAUAUUAGAAAGAACACCAGAGGCGAAGGCGCUUUACUAGACCAUGACUGACACUCAGAAGCGAAAGCUAAGGUAGCAAAAGGGAUUAGGUACCUCUGUAGUCUUAGCCGUAAACGUUGGAUACUCCAUGUUGUCUGUAAUCAAAGAAAAAUAGACAGUAUGUUAGCUAACGCGUUAAGUAUCCCGCCUGAGUAGUACGCUCGCAAGGGUGAAACUCAAAAGAAUUGACGGGGCCCCGCACCAGCGGUGGAGCAUGUGGUUUAAUUCGAUGCAACGCGAAAAACCUUACUAGAAUUUGAUUUACUACGUAAUUUAAUGUAAUAUCUUCUUAGAAAUUAGAAGAUUCUGUUCUACUAAAUUUAAAUCUAGUAUGAUACAAGGCGUAGUAACAGGUAGUGCAUGGCUGUCGUCAGCUCGUGUCGUGAAGUGUUGGGUUAAGUCCCGUAACGAGCGCAACUCUUAUUCUUAGUUAAUAUGUCUAAGAAUAUUGUUACUGAUAAAGUAAAGGAAGGUGAGGAUGACGUCAAGUCAGCAUGCUCCUUAUAUUUUGGGCUACACACGUGCUACAAUGAGUAAGUCAAAGGCUAGCAAAAUUGUAAGAUAGUUUUAUGUCACAGUUGAAUUCAGAUAACUUUUCGGAGCUGUUCUUCUUUUUAUAUAUUUCAUAUCUGUUCUUUUACUGUUGAUAUUUAAUUAAGCUAAUCUCAAAAACUUAUUCUCAGUUCGGAUUGCAGGCUGAAACUCGCCUGCAUGAAGUUGGAAUCGAUAGUAAUCGCUGUUCAGCAUUACAGCGGUGAAUUUGUUCUCGGCCCUUGUACACACCGACCGUCACACCAUGGAAGCUAGUUCUGCCCAAAAACGUUGAUUUAACUAUACUUUUCUAUACUUUUAUAGAUAGGUAAAGAGGAUCCCGGCUAAGGCAGGACCAGUGACUGGGGUGAAGUCGUAACAAGGUAACC
Molecule: ribosomal RNA, 1679 nt
Filed under: uncultured marine eukaryote
Lineage: Eukaryota
Description: bacterial SSU rRNA
Rfam family: Bacterial small subunit ribosomal RNA
Source: RNAcentral